Long non-coding RNA from Mauremys reevesii (Reeves's turtle), 2684 nucleotides. RefSeq lists it as uncharacterized. The transcript is spliced from 4 exons. Lineage: Eukaryota; Metazoa; Chordata; Testudines; Geoemydidae. The record is from RefSeq and is a predicted model, not a curated record.
UUUAUAAAGGUACCUAAUAAGAAAUUUCAGCCCCCUAUCAGGCCAGAUUUGAGUUCUUUUGGACAGUUCAAUUGAAAAUCCCUGUGGAUGUUUUUGAGUUACAUGAACAUCAAAAUAAUAUUCUUUUUCUGCUGUUUAAAGACUUUUUCUGUACUUGCAUAACUCAAACAGAUUUCUUUUUAAAACUUCAGACUUGGCAGAUGUAUAGUCCUGAAUGAUGAAUGCAUGCUUAAUCUUGUUUUAAGAAAUUUGCUUUGGAAACAUUUAAGUUGGGGGCAUUUGAAAAUAGUGUACUGAGUAUCUGCAGCAUGUUAUUUUUCCUGAUAUAGAGCAAGAAAUAUAACAUAGUUUGAAUGUCUGUAGAUAUAUAUAUUUGCAUUAACAUCUGGGGGAAGUUGAGGGUAUUAAUAAGGGCAAUGCUCACCAUUAAAAUAUUUACAGUUGCUCUUUGCAAGUAAUUAUCUUACCACUGUUACCAUUAAGUUAUGUAGUGCUACAGUUGCAUUUAAUUUUUUAUUUAGAGUGAGCACAGUUUAACAUCAUAUUCCUCUAAAAACUCACUUUUCCCCUCUAUACUUAAACCCCAAAAAUCUUAUAACAUUUUAAAAAAUGUUAUACAAAAACAGAUACAUAAGAGUCAAGUGUAAUGGAAUGUGUAAGGCAGCUUUAUAGCUUGAGGCAACCAAGUUCUAGAACCGAGGCAUUCUGGGACUUGUAGUGUAGAGGGACUAUGGAAGUUGUAGGCCUCAUAGCAAGGUAUCUGGUGUGUCUGAGUGAGAUAAUUGGCAGACCAGUUGUGGGGUGAGGUCUCUACUUGUAUGGAGAAGGUUUUGCAGUUGGAUCUCUCCAGACAAAGAGCCUGAGAGGAGUUUUUCAUGAAGCUCAGAAGAACAGCCAAAAUUCUUGGAAAAGCAUGCAUAGAAACGGUGUUUUCAGGUAGUAACCUAAGACUGAUGAGAGGAUUGGAGAAAGGAGACUCCAUUAAAGGGCUUUGGAAGAGGAACUGCUUGUGAGCUCUUGUGCUGAUGGGUGAAGGCUUGUUUGUUUAAAUGACUUCUUAUGAACCCCUGGGCCAAGGGGUGUGUUAGAGCCCCUGUCUUGAGGAGUGUAUAUGUGUGGACUUCCACUGGACUUUUCAUUACCCUAGAAGCAAAGGAGUUUUGGCUUUGUCUAGAGGGCUAAAAUACCUUGUCUGGAGGAGUGAAACUGAAGCAGUGGCCCCUCCUGAUGACAGAAGAGUAAGAGAUCUUCUUGCACCAAAGUUUAUAAAAUUAUUUAGUAAGAGGCUGAUUGUGGACCGUGCCUCGUAUGGAUCACCAUCUUCCUUUUCAUACAGUAUCACACUGAUGUCAUGGUGAGGCCACUGAUGGAGAAUAACACCAACAUCCUGGCACUGCAAAAAACACAUUGCAGAAGAAGUCUCAGUGUGCCUCUGAAUACCAUGAGUCCCUGGACCAGAACCCAGAGCAGAGAGUGGGCCUGGGUUCCUCUGUCAGCCCUGAGCAAGGAGCACAUAAGCUUGACAUAAGGACUUGAGCCCAGUGUGGGGCUGAAGAUUGAGUCUCAAGGACAAACCAAGGAAUAACCCAAGAGGGGACAGAAGAAGCUUUUGUGUCUGGACAUGUUGGACUUUUAGUUGUACUUUUGUCCUCCCAGAAGGGGAGAGGAUCUAAAGUGGCCAGGCCAAAGAACCAAGUUAUGAGAAGAGGCAGACCACCACAAGGCUGGAGCAACCCUAGGCAGGAAAGAAUAGCCAUGAAGGUGUGCUCUAGCGGUGAGUCCACUCUCCAUAAGGGGCUGGCCAACAUUUGGAGAACAUAGCAGUUUUCAGGAUAUCAGAAAAGGAAAGACAGGUGAUUUUCUAGUCCUGUGCAGGAGAUCCCGUAAUCUGUACCAGAGAGAUGUUUCUGCUAAUGGUUACCUGUCUAUAUAUUGUGAAUGGAGGGGUCUGGUCAGCUACAAAGGUGGACCAGAUUUUACUGCGGGUGAACCUGAAGAACCAGCUGGACUUUGUGCUGAAACAGAAAUUUGCUGAAAUAUGGUUACAUGAUUGAGAGGCAGUUUGAUUGGAAAUUGACUACAUUCUGAGCUAGGAUAGAGGGAUUUAAUGCAAAAGGAGAUCUAAACCCUGAACCACUCCCACCCACCCCGUCUUUACCUGAAAACUAUGGCCCUGAUCUUGCCUAACAAUGGUGAAAUGGACAGGGAAAAAAUGAGGCACACUGCAACUUCAUUAGGUUUCCUGACGAUUCAGCUCAGCACCACAGUCCCUCACCUCAGACACCUGGAAAGUGACACUGCACUGUUUUUAUCCAACAUCCAGACCAAAUCCUUCUCCCACCCCCACUUUCCCAGCUUGUGUAACAUGAUUCUACAGGCUGAGAGUGCAAACACCUGGGACAGAGGCUGUAAAGACUUGGUAAUCUUCCAUGGAAAAACGGCCUCUGUAACUACUUUUCCUCAAACAACCAACUAUAUGUUUUCUAUGACUGUGUUUUGUUCCCUUCUCCAACUGGGACCCUCCAUGAAGCCCCAGGAUCUGAAUCCCUGACAGCUGGCUGAGAAAUUGCACAGACACAAGGGCAGAGUGAUAUUUUUCUUUUGUAAAUUGUUUGAAAAAAUAGUUUUAGCCAAAUGCAUAAAAUUGUGGUUCAUCACAAAUCAAUAAAAUCAUUGAUUUAGAA